RNAcentral lists this ribosomal RNA (776 nucleotides) under uncultured Enterobacteriaceae bacterium. RNAcentral's name for it is "bacterial SSU rRNA". It matches the Rfam family "Bacterial small subunit ribosomal RNA", at positions 1 to 776 of the family's 1533-position model. Lineage: Bacteria; Pseudomonadati; Pseudomonadota; Gammaproteobacteria; Enterobacterales; Enterobacteriaceae. The record is from RNAcentral.
CCCAUAGAGAUUGAUCAGAGUCAGAUGAACGCGGCGACAGCCUAACAAUGCAAGUGGAGCGGCAGCGGAAAGUAGUUUGUAAUUUUGCCGGGAAGGGGCGGACGGGUAGUAAUGUCUGGGAAACUGCUUGAUGGAGGGGGAUAACUACUGGAGCGGUAGCUAUACCGCAUGACCUCGAAAGAGCAAAGUGGGGGAUCUUCGGACCUCACGCCAUCGGAUGUGCCCAGAUGGGAUUAGCUAGUAGGUGAGGUAAUGGCUCACCUAGGCGACGAUCCCUAGCUGGUCUGAGAGGAUGACCAGCCACACUGGAACUGAGACACGGUCCAGACUCCUACGGGAGGCAGCAGUGGGGAAUAUUGCACAAUGGGCGCAAGCCUGAUGCAGCCAUGCCGCGUGUGUGAAGAAGGCCUUAGGGUUGUAAAGCACUUUCAGCGAGGAGGAAGGCACCAUACUUAAUACGUGUGGUGAUCGACGUUACUCGCAGAAGAAGCACCGGCUAACUCCGUGCCAGCAGCCGCGGUAAUACGGAGGGUGCAAGCGUUAAUCGGAAUUACUGGGCGUAAAGCGCACGCAGGCGGUUUGUUAAGUCAGAUGUGAAAUCCCCGCGCUUAACGUGGGAACUGCAUUUGAAACUGGCAAGCUAGAGUCUUGUAGAGGGGGGUAGAAUUCCAGGUGUAGCGGUGAAAUGCGUAGAGAUCUGGAGGAAUACCGGUGGCGAAGGCGGCCCCCUGGACAAAGACUGACGCUCAGGUGCGAAAGCGUGGGGAGCAAACAGG